Molecule: ribosomal RNA, 1635 nt
Filed under: Triticum aestivum (bread wheat)
Lineage: Eukaryota; Viridiplantae; Streptophyta; Magnoliopsida; Poales; Poaceae
Description: partial small subunit ribosomal RNA
Source: RNAcentral
AUGGGCAACAGAGAGUUUGACAAGAUGGUGGAGCAGGGAGCUGGCUUGGAUUUGAAGAAGCAAGGGGGUAAAAGUGAUUGGCAGCAUGGGUAUGAAGAAACAAGAGAAAUUUUGAUAGAUUUAACAAACAGGUGUGUGGUAAGUGCAAAGACCCCAGACACACCACCAAGGAUUGCAUGGGUGGGACACUGCUUGAUCUGUGGCAGAGAGAAUCAUAUUACAGGGGAGUGCAACUUGCUGAAACAGGUUAAACCAGUCCCAAAAUAUUUAGGGUAUGCAGCUAAAGGGCUGGGAAUUCUUCUGGUUCAGAGUUAUAAAGAUGUCCUGAUAGCAGAACAUACCAAUCCUUUGGGUGUGGUGAUCAUAAGAGAAGGAAGCAUUAAUGAGACUGAACUGGUGAAAGCUAUGGAGAAAAUGUUUGACUGGGGCUGGCAAUGGAGAGUAAGGGAAUUUGGAAAGAAUGGAUACAUGAUGAGAUUUCCCAAUAAAGCAAAGUUGGUGGAGCUAGCCAAGUUUAAUGACUUUAAACUGCUGGGGACAGGGGUGAUGAUCAAGGUUCAACCCUGGUCCCUUGAUCAUCAAGCUGUUGGGAAGAUGCACACCAUUUGGGUCAGGUUGGCCAAAGUCCUAGAUUGUUUCAGACAUUUUUUGGGUGUUUGUGAGGUGGCUACUGCAGUUGGACCUGUCCUGGAGAUUGAUAUGGAUACUAUAAAUGAGGAGAAAAUUAGAGCAAAGUGUGGGAUCAGAGAUGUGGAGAAAUUGCCAACUCAAGUGGAAAUCACUUCCCCUGAUCUUCUCAUGUUUAGAAUUGGGGUGGAGGCUGAGAAGGUGGUGGAGAUUGGUUGGUACAAAGAUGAGAAGAGGAAAAAUGAUGGUAAUAAUCUCUCAGAAGGGGGGGAAGAAGAGAUUGACAACAGGAAGAGGACUAGAAUGGGGGACAAUGAACAUAGAGGGGUUUCCUUUGGAUGCUUAUCCCUGAAACAAAGUGAGGAGGUUGAUAUAAGAAUUGGAGGAAUGAAAGCUCAAGUGAAAGAAACCAUGAUGCAGUGGCAAAAAGAGAUGGCUGUGGAGAGAGGAAAAUGGCAAAAAGAGAGUGAAAUCAUGUUCAGUAAAAUCAAAACCUUGGAGGAGGACAAGAUUAGAAACAAUGCUCUAUGGGCUAAAAAUGAAAACAGAAUCAGAGAAUUAGAAAAAAUUCAGACAGAGUUGCAGGAGAUUAGUAGAAAACAACUUGAAGAAAUCCAGAAGUUGGCGCAAGAGGCUGCUAAUAGAGAGGAGUAUGAAAUGGAGUUAGCUAAUAUGGACCUUGAAGAUUAUGAGAAAGAGACUCAAGAGAAAAAGGAAGAUACUGAGUCUGGGAAAUAUAAUGAGCCCACUGAUUAUAAUGCUAGCCAAGAAUCUAUUGGGACCUUGGGGGAGAAAAUGGCUGAAAUACAUGGAAGUGAGAUCCUGGAUAAAGAGAGGGAGGAGAAAGAUGUUGAGAUCAAGAGAAGCAUGAGAAACAAAGGAAAAGAAGACAAGAAAAUUGAGGAUAUGGCUAAAAGCAGAGCUGAGGAGAGAGACAAUUAUGAUAAAGGAGCCACCAAGAAAAGCGUUGGAGCUGGGAGCAAGGGUGCUAGAGCAGGCAGCAAAUGA